RNAcentral lists this ribosomal RNA (2318 nucleotides) under Escherichia coli B113. Its description in RNAcentral is "bacterial LSU rRNA". It matches the Rfam family "Bacterial large subunit ribosomal RNA", at positions 624 to 2925 of the family's 2925-position model. Lineage: Bacteria; Pseudomonadati; Pseudomonadota; Gammaproteobacteria; Enterobacterales; Enterobacteriaceae. The record is from RNAcentral.
CGACUUAUAUUCUGUAGCAAGGUUAACCGAAUAGGGGAGCCGAAGGGAAACCGAGUCUUAACCGGGCGUUAAGUUGCAGGGUAUAGACCCGAAACCCGGUGAUCUAGCCAUGGGCAGGUUGAAGGUUGGGUAACACUAACUGGAGGACCGAACCGACUAAUGUUGAAAAAUUAGCGGAUGACUUGUGGCUGGGGGUGAAAGGCCAAUCAAACCGGGAGAUAGCUGGUUCUCCCCGAAAGCUAUUUAGGUAGCGCCUCGUGAAUUCAUCUCCGGGGGUAGAGCACUGUUUCGGCAAGGGGGUCAUCCCGACUUACCAACCCGAUGCAAACUGCGAAUACCGGAGAAUGUUAUCACGGGAGACACACGGCGGGUGCUAACGUCCGUCGUGAAGAGGGAAACAACCCAGACCGCCAGCUAAGGUCCCAAAGUCAUGGUUAAGUGGGAAACGAUGUGGGAAGGCCCAGACAGCCAGGAUGUUGGCUUAGAAGCAGCCAUCAUUUAAAGAAAGCGUAAUAGCUCACUGGUCGAGUCGGCCUGCGCGGAAGAUGUAACGGGGCUAAACCAUGCACCGAAGCUGCGGCAGCGACACUGUGUGUUGUUGGGUAGGGGAGCGUUCUGUAAGCCUGUGAAGGUGUCUGUGAGGAUGCUGGAGGUAUCAGAAGUGCGAAUGCUGACAUAAGUAACGAUAAAGCGGGUGAAAAGCCCGCUCGCCGGAAGACCAAGGGUUCCUGUCCAACGUUAAUCGGGGCAGGGUGAGUCGACCCCUAAGGCGAGGCCGAAAGGCGUAGUCGAUGGGAAACAGGUUAAUAUUCCUGUACUUGGUGUUACUGCGAAGGGGGGACGGAGAAGGCUAUGUUGGCCGGGCGACGGUUGUCCCGGUUUAAGCGUGUAGGCUGGUUUUCCAGGCAAAUCCGGAAAAUCAAGGCUGAGGCGUGAUGACGAGGCACUACGGUGCUGAAGCAACAAAUGCCCUGCUUCCAGGAAAAGCCUCUAAGCAUCAGGUAACAUCAAAUCGUACCCCAAACCGACACAGGUGGUCAGGUAGAGAAUACCAAGGCGCUUGAGAGAACUCGGGUGAAGGAACUAGGCAAAAUGGUGCCGUAACUUCGGGAGAAGGCACGCUGAUAUGUAGGUGAAGUCCCUCGCGGAUGGAGCUGAAAUCAGUCGAAGAUACCAGCUGGCUGCAACUGUUUAUUAAAAACACAGCACUGUGCAAACACGAAAGUGGACGUAUACGGUGUGACGCCUGCCCGGUGCCGGAAGGUUAAUUGAUGGGGUCAGCGCAAGCGAAGCUCUUGAUCGAAGCCCCGGUAAACGGCGGCCGUAACUAUAACGGUCCUAAGGUAGCGAAAUUCCUUGUCGGGUAAGUUCCGACCUGCACGAAUGGCGUAAUGAUGGCCAGGCUGUCUCCACCCGAGACUCAGUGAAAUUGAACUCGCUGUGAAGAUGCAGUGUACCCGCGGCAAGACGGAAAGACCCCGUGAACCUUUACUAUAGCUUGACACUGAACAUUGAGCCUUGAUGUGUAGGAUAGGUGGGAGGCUUUGAAGUGUGGACGCCAGUCUGCAUGGAGCCGACCUUGAAAUACCACCCUUUAAUGUUUGAUGUUCUAACGUGGACCCGUGAUCCGGGUUGCGGACAGUGUCUGGUGGGUAGUUUGACUGGGGCGGUCUCCUCCUAAAGAGUAACGGAGGAGCACGAAGGUUGGCUAAUCCUGGUCGGACAUCAGGAGGUUAGUGCAAUGGCAUAAGCCAGCUUGACUGCGAGCGUGACGGCGCGAGCAGGUGCGAAAGCAGGUCAUAGUGAUCCGGUGGUUCUGAAUGGAAGGGCCAUCGCUCAACGGAUAAAAGGUACUCCGGGGAUAACAGGCUGAUACCGCCCAAGAGUUCAUAUCGACGGCGGUGUUUGGCACCUCGAUGUCGGCUCAUCACAUCCUGGGGCUGAAGUAGGUCCCAAGGGUAUGGCUGUUCGCCAUUUAAAGUGGUACGCGAGCUGGGUUUAGAACGUCGUGAGACAGUUCGGUCCCUAUCUGCCGUGGGCGCUGGAGAACUGAGGGGGGCUGCUCCUAGUACGAGAGGACCGGAGUGGACGCAUCACUGGUGUUCGGGUUGUCAUGCCAAUGGCACUGCCCGGUAGCUAAAUGCGGAAGAGAUAAGUGCUGAAAGCAUCUAAGCACGAAACUUGCCCCGAGAUGAGUUCUCCCUGACCCUUUAAGGGUCCUGAAGGAACGUUGAAGACGACGACGUUGAUAGGCCGGGUGUGUAAGCGCAGCGAUGCGUUGAGCUAACCGGUACUAAUGAACCGUGAGGCUUAACCUU